Molecule: ribosomal RNA, 460 nt
Filed under: uncultured bacterium
Lineage: Bacteria
Description: partial 16S ribosomal RNA
Rfam family: Bacterial small subunit ribosomal RNA
Source: RNAcentral
CCUACGGGAGGCAGCAGUGAGGAAUAUUGGUCAAUGGACGCAAGCCUGAACCAGCCAUGCCGCGUGCAGGAUGACGGCCCUAUGAGUUGUAAACUGCUUUUGUACGAGGGUAAACCCCGAUACGUGUAUCGUGUUGAAAGUAUCGUACGAAUAAGGAUCGGCUAACUCCGUGCCAGCAGCCGCGGUAAUACGGAGGAUCCGAGCGUUAUCCGGAUUUAUUGGGUUUAAAGGGUGCGUAGGCGGUUUGAUAAGUUAGAUGUGAAAUGUCGGGGCUCAACCCCGGAACUGCCUUUAAUACUGGUAGACUAGAGAAUAGUUGAGGUAGGCGGAAUGUAUGGUGUAGUGGUGAAAUGCUUAGAGAUCAUACAGAAUACCGAUUGCGAAGGCAGCUUACCAAACUAUAACUGACGUUGAGGCACGAAAGCGUGGGUAGCAAACAGGAUUAGAUACCCCGGUAGUC